RNAcentral lists this ribosomal RNA (521 nucleotides) under uncultured bacterium. RNAcentral's name for it is "bacterial SSU rRNA". It matches the Rfam family "Archaeal small subunit ribosomal RNA", at positions 345 to 866 of the family's 1478-position model. The record is from RNAcentral.
AACCUCCGCAAUGUGAGAAAUCGCGACGGGGGGAUCCCAAGUGCCAUUCUUAACGGGAUGGCUUUUCAUUAGUGUAAAGAGCUUUUGGAAUAAGGGCUGGGCAAGACCGGUGCCAGCCGCCGCGGUAACACCGGCAGCUCUAGUGGUAGCAGUUUUUAUUGGGCCUAAAGCGUCCGUAGCCGGUUUAAUAAGUCUCUGGUGAAAUCCUGUAGCUUAACUGUGGGAAUUGCUGGAGAUACUAUUAGACUUGAGACCGGGAGAGGUUAGCGGUACUCCCAGGGUGGAGGUGAAAUUCUGUAAUCCUGGGAGGACCACCUGUGGCGAAGGCGGCUAACUGGAACGAACCUGACGGUGAGGGACGAAAGCUAGGGGCGCGAACCGGAUUAGAUACCCGGGUAGUCCUAGCCGUAAACGAUGCGGACUUGGUGUUGGGAUGGCUUUGAGCCGCUCCGGUGCCGAAGGGAAGCUGUUAAGUCCGCCGCCUGGGAAGUACGGUCGCAAGACUGAAACUUAAAGGAAUU